GAUGAACGCUGGCGGCGUGCCUAAUACAUGCAAGUCGAGCGAACGGACGAGAAGCUUGCUCCUCUGACGUUAGCGGCGGACGGGUGAGUAACACGUGGAUAACCUACCUAUAAGACUGGGAUAACUUCGGGAAACCGGAGCUAAUACCGGAUAAUAUAUUGAACCGCAUGGUUCAAUAGUGAAAGACGGUUUUGCUGUCACUUAUAGAUGGAUCCGCGCUGCAUUAGCUAGUUGGUAAGGUAACGGCUUACCAAGGCGACGAUGCAUAGCCGACCUGAGAGGGUGAUCGGCCACCCUGGAACUGAGACACGGUCCAGACUCCUACGGGAGGCAGCAGUAGGGAAUCUUCCGCAAUGGGCGAAAGCCUGACGGAGCAACGCCGCGUGAGUGAUGAAGGUCUUCGGAUCGUAAAACUCUGUUAUUAGGGAAGAACAAAUGUGUAAGUAACUGUGCACAUCUUGACGGUACCUAAUCAGAAAGCCACGGCUAACUACGUG
This 497-nucleotide ribosomal RNA is filed under the name uncultured bacterium. RNAcentral's name for it is "partial 16S ribosomal RNA". It matches the Rfam family "Bacterial small subunit ribosomal RNA", at positions 28 to 507 of the family's 1533-position model. The record is from RNAcentral.